UACGAAGGGGGCUAGCGUUGCUCGGAAUCACUGGGCGUAAAGGGUGCGUAGGCGGGUCUUUAAGUCAGGGGUGAAAUCCUGGAGCUCAACUCCAGAACUGCCUUUGAUACUGAAGAUCUUGAGUUCGGGAGAGGUGAGUGGAACUGCGAGUGUAGAGGUGAAAUUCGUAGAUAUUCGCAAGAACACCAGUGGCGAAGGCGGCUCUCUGGACACUUACUGACGCUGAGACGCGAAAGCGUGGGGAGCAAACAGG
This 253-nucleotide ribosomal RNA is filed under the name uncultured bacterium. RNAcentral's name for it is "partial 16S ribosomal RNA". It matches the Rfam family "Bacterial small subunit ribosomal RNA", at positions 524 to 776 of the family's 1533-position model. The record is from RNAcentral.